This 442-nucleotide ribosomal RNA is filed under the name uncultured bacterium. RNAcentral's name for it is "partial 16S ribosomal RNA". It matches the Rfam family "Bacterial small subunit ribosomal RNA", at positions 338 to 795 of the family's 1533-position model. The record is from RNAcentral.
CCUACGGGAGGCAGCAGUGGGGAAUAUUGGGCAAUGGGCGCAAGCCUGACCCAGCAACGCCGCGUGAAGGAAGAAGGCUUUCGGGUUGUAAACUUCUUUUAACAGGGAAGAACAGAAGACAGUACCUCUUGAAUAAGCUACGGCUAACUACGUGCCAGCAGCCGCGGUAAUACGGAGGGGGCAAGCGUUGUCCGGAGUUACUGGGUGUAAAGGGCGUGCAGCCGGGAAGACAAGUCAGAUGUGAAAUCCCGCGGCUCAACCGCGGAACUGCAUUUGAAACUGUUUAGCUUGAGUACCUGAGAGGUAAUCGGAAUUCCAUGUGUAGCGGUGAAAUGCGUAGAUAUAAGGAAGAACACCAGUGGCGAAGGCGGCUGACUGGACGGAAACUGACGGUGAGGCGCGAAAGCGUGGGGAGCAAACAGGAUUAGAUACCCGGGUAGUC